Capsicum annuum is the source of this 2180-nucleotide long non-coding RNA. RefSeq lists it as uncharacterized. The record is from RefSeq and is a predicted model, not a curated record. NCBI's taxonomy places the organism in Eukaryota, Viridiplantae, Streptophyta, Magnoliopsida, Solanales, Solanaceae. The transcript is spliced from 3 exons.
CCCAUGUUUGUCCGGUUACACGGAUCUAUUAUGAUUAGGUUUAUUACUUGGAUUACAUGAGAAACUUUAUAUAUAUGCAACUGGUGAUUGAAUAUGCAAGUCACCGAGCAAAUUGUAGACUGGGGAAAGCUUCAAAAUCUUCCAGCACCGCCCGGUGCCUGCAGAAGGAGAAUUGCAUCAUUGAGAAGAAGUCAAGAGUUCAGAAAAUCUGUUAUGAGACUAUGUAAUGUGCUUAGUAAGCGAUAUGUGGAUUACCUUGAGAAAUCCAAAGAAGAAACAUUGAAUCAUGAGGGUCACCUAGCAACGGACUGGAUAUUGUUUUAAACAGACCUCAAACUUCCUCUCUCAAGAGCCAUGGGAUAACUUUGAUGAGGCCAAUGUAAAAUUGGCCCUGGAAGAUGCUCUGUGAUGCAAAAAGUUAUCGAAAUCAGAAACCUCUAGCUCGAAAGCUGCUCAACCUUUCUUUGAUAACUGCUCAGAUGGAUAAUACUGAUGAAAGACACAUGUUUCUUGUGGUUCUCAAUCAGUUUUACCAGUUUCUUGUGGCGAGUAUGCCGAAGAUUUUCCUGAUAUGUGAAUAUCACAAUUGGCGGCAUCCCCAUCAGUAAACGACUAUAUGAAUCUGCAGCAUUAGAGCUAUUCAAGCUCAUCUUCCUUUGUAGCUCAAAAUCUCCACUUGUGCCAACCUUGCUUGCUCAAACUUUAAGAUUGGGGGACAUUCCAAUAGUCCUUUUUGUCAUUUCUCAAACAUUCUUGAAUGGCAUAGAAUUUUCUCCAUUCCCAAGUGAUACUGCAAAAAAGAGCUGCUAAGUUUGCUAGCUGGCUUUGUGAUUGAUUGCUGAAGGGGUGGAUCUUCCAGCAGAUUUGCAGUGUGGAGAUUUUUACCACCUUUGUGCUCUGCUUUCUUCAGGAGAGCUAUCAAUUGCACCAUGCCUACCCGAUGAAGGUGUUGGAGAGGCUGAGGACUCCCGGACAUCUUAAACGCAAAUAUGAUGACAGUGACAGGUAUAAAAAGCUGAAAACUUCAAUGGGUGGUGAUAGUGAGAUUUGCACACACCGUGCAAAAGGUUUCCCAGGAAUUAGGUUGUGAUUGAGGCAUGCUACACUUCAAGAGUAAAAACUAUGGAUUUAUUUAAAGACACUGACAAUUCUACUCGCGCACUAUCUGUUGAAGAGCAUCAAACCACUGAUCUUGGCAGAUGACCAAGUAAAUGAACUUAAUGAUAGUGGGGUCCCAGUUUCUCCGCCCGAGUCACCAUGGCAAGCCAUGACUACCUAUGCUGAACGUGUUUGUUCCUUUGGUUACUCUCUGGUAUAUCCGGAAAUGUUUAAAUCUGUUUCUUCAGCUAUCCAAAGGGCUGGUGAUCAAGGUUUGUGCAUGAAAGAUAUCUCGAGGAUUCUAAAGAUGCAAGGUAUCCCAGAGAAAAAAGUUCUCUGAAGCUGUUGUUGAGGUGCUAGAAGCAUUUGGACGAGUUUUGAAGGUUCGUCUGAAUUAACGCUUAGCAAUCUUCCCUGUUCUUUUCACCAUCUAAUGAAGUUUCAUGCACAUGCUUAGAGUUUGUAAUGAAAGAAUUCUGUUGAAGUCCUCAGUUAUAGUUUAUUUGAUGUUAUUUUUUGUGUAAUAUAACACUUUUCACUGAUCAUUUAAUAAAUAGGAAAUAUUAGUAAAGGGAUUGUUUUUUUUGAAAAAAGUCUUCCUUGUAGAAAAAAUACAAUCUGUUAGUUCGUUUGCUUAUUUAAACAGAUACUAUUUGUAAUGGUAUUGUCAAAUCGUUCCAAGUACUUUUCGACUUCAGUGGCUGCGAUGCUCCAUUGUUUUCUACUAAAGAUUCUGAGGAGUCUGCUACACAUAAUAGAGAAGAUCAUAAAGAUGUUGAGUUGCAGAAGGAAAUGCCGGGGAAUUCUAGUAAGGUACACAAAGUCACAAUUCUUAAUCUUCCUAAAGUGGUUGCUGAACCUUCAUGUGAAAAGCAAACCAUCAAUGAGGCCAAAGGUUGUCAGCCUACUGAAGCUACUUCACCCACAAGAAAUCACCCGGAAGAACCAUAUGAGCUCCGCUCUACUGGUUCGCAUUUGUGUAAACCAAUAUUGCCUUGGUACUACAAAAUGAACGUGUUUACAAGGGACUACUACGCCGUGUUCUUGGCAUAGUGAUGCAAAAUUCAGGAAUAAAAGAGGUA